AAUCACGUUCAAGAAGUCUCAUUCAGCACACAUCGCGAUACUUGCCAUCAGUUUCCAUGUGCCACAGGGUCGCUGAAAAGAUGUAAAGGAAGCAGUCAUCCCUGUGGUGUUUGUGGAGAGGUUUUCCUUCAGAAAUGGAGAAGACAAAAAGCUGCGGAGGCAGACAUUUGCAGCAGAUUGUUCGCAGAUAAUGAUGUUCUUCUUGAUCAUGCACAAGGACUCACCUCUUUAACUCUUUAUCUUCCCAACACACACAGAAAUGCUCCCUUUAUCAGUGUUUAGACUUUGCAGUGCAGUUUUGUUUUAGUUCUAAGCUUAUAAUGAAUACAUUGUGACCUUCCAGCAACCCAUAUAUUGUAUA
This 361-nucleotide long non-coding RNA is filed under the name Carassius auratus (goldfish). Its description in RNAcentral is "lncRNA (ENSCARG00000056718.1)". The record is from RNAcentral. Lineage: Eukaryota; Metazoa; Chordata; Actinopteri; Cypriniformes; Cyprinidae.